RNAcentral lists this transfer RNA (75 nucleotides) under Clostridia bacterium. Its description in RNAcentral is "tRNA-Arg". It matches the Rfam family "tRNA". Rfam says of the family: Transfer RNA (tRNA) molecules are approximately 80 nucleotides in length. Their secondary structure includes four short double-helical elements and three loops (D, anti-codon, and T loops). The record is from RNAcentral. Lineage: Bacteria; Bacillati; Bacillota; Clostridia.
GCUCCGGUGGCCUAAUGGAUAAGGUAGCAGAUUCCGAUUCUGCUGACGCAGGUUCGAUUCCUGUCCGGAGUACCA